AUACUGAUAGUAUUAACCCCGUACAGCUGCCUUCCAAGCAGAAAGACCUUCUGGUCAGUAUAC
RNAcentral lists this transfer RNA (63 nucleotides) under Parvasolenaia rivularis. RNAcentral describes it as "Solenaia rivularis tRNA-Gly". The record is from RNAcentral. Lineage: Eukaryota; Metazoa; Mollusca; Bivalvia; Unionida; Unionidae.